AUGGCUCAGGACGAACGCUGGCGGCGUGCUUAACACAUGCAAGUCGAACGAGGAUUAUGUGAGGGGCUUCGGCCUGGAAGAUGUAAUUCGAGUGGCGGACGGGUGAGUAACGCGUGAACAAGUCUGUCCCGGACAGGGGAAUAACACUUGGAAACAGGUGCUAAUACCGCAUAAGACCACGCCCUCGCAUGGGGGAGGGGUAAAAAGGAGCGAAUCCGGUUCGGGGUGAGUUCGCGUCCGAUUAGAUAGUUGGUGAGGUAACGGCCCACCAAGUCGACGAUCGGUAGCCGACCUGAGAGGGUGAUCGGCCACAUUGGAACUGAGAGACGGUCCAAACUCCUACGGGAGGCAGCAGUGGGGAAUAUUGGGCAAUGGGCGAAAGCCCUGACCCAGCAACGCCGCGUGAGUGAAGAAGGCUUUCGGGUUGUAAAGCUCUGUUAUAGGGGACGAAGGAAGUGACGGUACCCUAUAAGGAAGCCCCGGCUAACUACGUGCCAGCAGCAGC
RNAcentral lists this ribosomal RNA (505 nucleotides) under uncultured bacterium. Its description in RNAcentral is "bacterial SSU rRNA". It matches the Rfam family "Bacterial small subunit ribosomal RNA", at positions 19 to 518 of the family's 1533-position model. The record is from RNAcentral.